GCAAGGAAUUUUGGGCAAUGGGCGAAAGCCUGACCCAGCGACACCGCGUGAGGGAAUAAGGCCUUCGGGUUGUAAACCUCUUUUCCUGGGGAAGAAUCUCGACGGUACCCAGGGAAUAAGCCUCGGCCAACUACGUGCCAGCAGCCGCGGUAAUACGUAGGAGGCGAACGUUAUUCGGAUUUACUGGGCGUAAAGGGAGCGUAGGCGGUUCCUUAAGUCGGAUGUGAAAUCUUCUGGCUCAAUCGGAAGGCGCCAUUUGAUACUGAGGAACUUGAGAGCAGCAGAGGGAAAUGGAAUCUGCAGUGUAGCGGUGAAAUGCGUAGAUAUUGCAGAGAACACCAGUGGCGAAGGCGGUUUUCCAGGCUGUUUCUGACGCUGAGGCUCGAAAGCGUGGGGAGCGAAGCGGAUUAGAAACCCUGGUAGUCC
This 426-nucleotide ribosomal RNA is filed under the name uncultured bacterium. RNAcentral's name for it is "bacterial SSU rRNA". It matches the Rfam family "Bacterial small subunit ribosomal RNA", at positions 354 to 796 of the family's 1533-position model. The record is from RNAcentral.